UUAUCUUGCCAAAUAGUUGGGGCUGGGAGCAGCGAUCCAAGCUGACCUAAGGGAAGUCUUACUCUUAGAGCAGCCUGUGUUAUGGCUGGCUCAUGACAGAUGUGUCAGCCUUUUCGCAUCAAUGGCCAAGCUCAUUUCUCCUCUCAAUGAGAUAUUCUUUCAGUUUAACUAUAGCUCUUACAGUUCCUUUUUUUUUCCCUCCCAAUAUUAUUUCCUUUAAGAUUCAUCUUGAUGUUGAUUUAAUUGUUAACUUGCACACAGGAAUCAUGGAUAUUAGAGAAACACUUAUGCCUGAUUUCAAAUGGAAGCACUUUGUCGACAGAUUUUGGUCUCGGGUCUCUUGCCAAAACAAGGUGGUGAUACAAACACUUUCUGAAUGUACAAAUGAAAUGUUUUUUUUUUUUUCAGAAUAUAUUAAAGCAUGUGGUCUUUGCUUAUUUGACUGCUCAACAUAGAGCAUGACCCAGGUACACUAUAAUAAGAAUGGAAGAAGUUUGAAACUACUCUGAUCCCUUUCCCUUAUUUACUUAAUCUCCUUUAUCUUUAAUUCUUUAUUGUAGAGCAUGGACCUAUACAGAUUACAGAGAGCCAAAACUAUGUAGCAGAGCUGCCUGAGAAGCAAUUUGAUAAGAAAUGUUGAAAACUCGAUCUCACAAGACUGAAUAUUUGUGGGAACAGUAUGAUCAGAAAAAUGGCAAUGGAAAAGGUGCACAAUUUACUGGCUGGAAGCUCUAGUGCUUUUGAAUUUUGAUCAUGUCUGAAACUGAUGACACAUAUUUUUCAAGGCAGUGCUGAGGUCUACCUUUACAUAUAGAAUUACAUUAAGUCUGAAAUCAAUAUUGAGUAGAUGACCUCUACUGCAAGGCCCUUUUAUCUUCUCUUUCUCCUUUUUCCUUUUAUUCAAGAGAUGCUAAUAUACAAUUAUUCUUGUAACAUCAGAUAGCUAUUAUUCAUAUUGUGCUUGAGAAA
Molecule: long non-coding RNA, 969 nt
Organism: Ipomoea triloba (trilobed morning glory)
Lineage: Eukaryota; Viridiplantae; Streptophyta; Magnoliopsida; Solanales; Convolvulaceae
Exons: 2
Source: RefSeq, a predicted model, not a curated record